CAUAUUAAGGGCUAAUAUUUGGUGGAGGUACUAAGGAAGGUCCAAGGAACCCCCCAUAUGUUAAUCUGACGCGCUCGAGUUACUACACAAAUCUCCUCUUGGGCUUCUAUACUAUUAUUAAGAAAAUUUAGUUUGUCAUUUAAA
Molecule: long non-coding RNA, 144 nt
Organism: Chrysoperla carnea
Lineage: Eukaryota; Metazoa; Arthropoda; Insecta; Neuroptera; Chrysopidae
Exons: 3
Source: RefSeq, a predicted model, not a curated record